Molecule: ribosomal RNA, 492 nt
Filed under: uncultured bacterium
Lineage: Bacteria
Description: partial 16S ribosomal RNA
Rfam family: Bacterial small subunit ribosomal RNA
Source: RNAcentral
AGUGAACGCUGGCGGUAGGCCUAACACAUGCAAUUCGAACGGCAGCACAGUAAGAGCUUGCUCUUACGGGUUGCGAUUGGCUGACGGGUGAGGAAUACAUCGGAAUCUACUUUUUCGUUGGGGCUAACGUAGGUAAACUUCCGCUAAUACCUCAUACGACCUCCGUGUGAAAUCAGGUUAUCUUCCUACCUUGCGCGAUUGAAUGAGCCGAUGUCGUAUUAGCUAGUUGUCGGGGUAAAGGCCCACCAAGGCGACGAUCCGUAGCUGGUCUGAGAGGAUGAUCAGCAGCACUGGAACUGAGACAAGGUCCAGACACCUACGGGAGGCAGCAGUGGGGAAUAUGGGACAAUGGGAGCAAGACUGAUAAAGCCAUACCGCGUGGGUGAAGAAGGCCUUCGGGUUGUAAAGCCCAUUUGUUGGGAAAGAAAAGCAGCAGGUUAAUAAACCGCUGUUCUGACGGUACCCAAAGAAUAAGCACCGGAUAAAUUCGUG